This 243-nucleotide unclassified non-coding RNA is filed under the name Hevea brasiliensis (rubber tree). The record is from RNAcentral. Lineage: Eukaryota; Viridiplantae; Streptophyta; Magnoliopsida; Malpighiales; Euphorbiaceae.
GAGGAGACCGUAGUUGCCACCAAUCAAAGAUUGUCUACAAUAAGCCUUAGUGUUGUACUUUGAUGACAAUCCAAGUUGAUCCAAGUACCAGAAGCUAUUUAGGAAUUUAUUGGAUACUUCACGACUGCCGCUGUUGUAGGCACCGCCAGCUUCGCCAACCCAAGGAGAGGCCCAUGGUCCAUAUUUCUUGAUUGUGAGAUCGAGAUUUCUAAAGGUAUCGGCUACCCGACUUAGAUAUAGUGG